Molecule: transfer RNA, 61 nt
Filed under: Ictidomys tridecemlineatus (thirteen-lined ground squirrel)
Lineage: Eukaryota; Metazoa; Chordata; Mammalia; Rodentia; Sciuridae
Also listed under: 1 other name
Description: Spermophilus tridecemlineatus (thirteen-lined ground squirrel) tRNA
Rfam family: tRNA
About the family: Transfer RNA (tRNA) molecules are approximately 80 nucleotides in length.
Source: Rfam by way of RNAcentral
UGUGGCUCAAUGGUAGAGCACUUGCCUAGCAUGUGUAAGACCCUGGGUUCAAUUCUCAGCA